This 75-nucleotide transfer RNA is filed under the name bacterium. Its description in RNAcentral is "tRNA-Gly". It matches the Rfam family "tRNA". Rfam says of the family: Transfer RNA (tRNA) molecules are approximately 80 nucleotides in length. Their secondary structure includes four short double-helical elements and three loops (D, anti-codon, and T loops). The record is from RNAcentral. RNAcentral also lists the same sequence under 1 other name.
GCGGGAGUAGCUCAGGGGUAGAGCGUCUCCUUGCCAAGGAGAAGGUCGUGGGUUCAAAUCCCAUCUCCCGCUCCA